RNAcentral lists this long non-coding RNA (267 nucleotides) under Vicia faba (fava bean). Lineage: Eukaryota; Viridiplantae; Streptophyta; Magnoliopsida; Fabales; Fabaceae. The record is from RNAcentral.
AUGUUGAUAAAUGGAAGUCCAACAUAUGAGUUUAAGAUGUGCCGUGGACUUAGACAAGGAGACCCAUUCUCUUCGUUUCUAUUCCUAAUUGUUGCUGAAGCAUUCAACUUGAUGAUGAAAAAGGCAAUAGAUUUGAGGAAAUUUCAAGAUUACAAAUUUGAUGAAGAUAGGCUGAAAGAUUCAAAUGAAUAUUCUGUAAAAGGUGUUUACAAAAGUCUUAUGCCUGAAAGUUCAGACGAGUUAAGGAAUCCAUGGCCGAAAAUUUAG